UGCAAAAGAUGUUAGGGAAGGGCUGAGGUCUUUGAGUUUUAUGUCAGAUUACCCCUGGAGUUAAAUAUACCAUAAAGAAAACACGCCUCUUUUAUACAGUCCGAGGUGGAUAUACCGUGUGUGCAACCAAGAGUGCUUAGACACUGUGCUCGGUAGCUUUCCUCAGGACUGCGUUCAGUCUUUCACUUUGAAGUAAUUUGCUUUCCGCCUCUAUGGAGGAGCCACCGUCUUCAGUUCUUCAAGGGUGUUUUUCUUCUCACGCACUGCAUUGUUUACCUGUUGUUAAUGGUGCCUCACAAAUAUUUACCAAAUGUUUCUAAACUGUCUGCUCAGGACUCUGGCAGCCUCCCCUUGGGUACCCAGCCUUUUAAGGUGUUUUCUAGCGCUGCAGACGAGUAUCUUAUCACAUCAGCUUACACUCCACUUACCCUGUCGCUUGUCAACUUGACUUCCAUAUCUGUGCUUCUGGGGUAAACUUCAGUUUUUGGUAACUGCUACUCAUUACAAAAGUGUAACUCCACUGACCCAAGCCUGUAGACCUCGGAACAGGAAGAGAUUUCUUAAGUAAGUCAUAAAAGGAAUGCAGUAUAAAGAAAAGCGUUUAUACGUUUUAUUAUAUUAAAAUUAACAAACUUAUACAGAAUAAAACAAUUUUAAUAUAUAACAAUGGUUUCAUGCCCUAGUUAAUUA
Myodes glareolus (Bank vole) is the source of this 690-nucleotide non-coding RNA. NCBI's taxonomy places the organism in Eukaryota, Metazoa, Chordata, Mammalia, Rodentia, Cricetidae. The record is from RefSeq and is a predicted model, not a curated record.